AUUGAACGCUGGCGGAAUGCUUAACACAUGCAAGUCGAGCGGGCUGUAGCAAUACAGCUAGCGGCGGACGGGUGAGGAAUACAUAGGAAUCUGCCUCAGAGUGGGGGAUAGCCCGGGGAAACCCGGAUUAAUACCGCAUGAUGUCGUAAGACCAAAGCAGGGGACCGUAAGGCCUUGCGCUUUGAGAUGAGCCUAUGUCGGAUUAGCUAGUUGGCGGGGAAAAGCCCACCAAGGCGACGAUCCGUAGCUGGUCUGAGAGGACGAUCAGCCACACCGGAACUGAGACACGGUCCGGACUCCUACGGGAGGCAGCAGUGGGGAAUAUUGGACAAUGGGCGCAAGCCUGAUCCAGCAAUUCCGCGUGUGUGAAGAAGGCCU
This 378-nucleotide ribosomal RNA is filed under the name uncultured bacterium. RNAcentral describes it as "bacterial SSU rRNA". It matches the Rfam family "Bacterial small subunit ribosomal RNA", at positions 30 to 417 of the family's 1533-position model. The record is from RNAcentral.